CCAAUAGCGUAUAUUAAAGUUGUUGCAGUUAAAAAGCUCGUAGUUGAAUUUCGGGAUCAAUACGUCGGUCGUGCUUCGGUACGUACUGGCGUCAUUGAUUUCUCCCUUCUGACGAACCAUGAUGUCAUUAACUUGGUUUCAUGGGAAAUCAGGACUGUUACUUUGAAAAAAUUAGAGUGUUUAAAGCAGGCUCACGCUUGAAUACAUUAGCAUGGAAUAUUGAAAUAGGACGUUCGAUCCUAUUUUGUUGGUUUUAGGAUCAACGUAAUGAUUAAUAGGGAUAGUUGGGGGCAUUAGUAUUCAAUUGUCAGAGGUGAAAUUCUUGGAUUUAUUGAAGACUAACUACUGCGAAAGCAUUUGCCAAGGAUGUUUUCAUUAAUCAAGAACGAAAGUUAGGGGAUCGAAGACGAUCAGAUACCGUCGUAGUCUUAACCAUAAACUAUGCCGACUAGGGAUCGGAUGAUGUUAAUUUUUUAAUGACUCAUUCGGCGCCUUACG
This 498-nucleotide ribosomal RNA is filed under the name uncultured Glomeromycotina. RNAcentral's name for it is "partial small subunit ribosomal RNA". It matches the Rfam family "Eukaryotic small subunit ribosomal RNA", at positions 591 to 1092 of the family's 1831-position model. Lineage: Eukaryota; Fungi; Glomeromycota. The record is from RNAcentral.